GGAGGGAGAGCUAGAAGAAGGGACUGAGGGAAGGAGAAAGGGUGAAGAAGAAGCAUUAGUAAUAACUGAGAUGCACUGAACGCUCAUGAAUGCCAAAAUAUUAUAAUGGCUGUACAGUCAUCCAGAAGAAUUAAAGGCCAUUAUAUUUAUAUUUCCAGAGCAUACUUCACAAGAAAUGUAAGUAGGAGUCUUGAUGAAAAUGUUUUAAAAAUCAAUUUUUCUAAAGCUAAAAAUCAUGAAAGUGUUACCUUAUAUCUAUGCUGUUUGAAAGAGAUUUCUCCCUUUUUUUGAAAGAAAUAUUAGUGGAAAUCCUCCAGGAUCAAUUACCUAAGAUAUUUCUCAUCCUUGCUACCACAAUAGUCCUUCUGUUUUCAAUUUUAUGAUUAUACAGCAUUUUUAGUAGUUUUCUCAGUGCAUCAGAACUUAUGAAAAUA
This 434-nucleotide long non-coding RNA is filed under the name Homo sapiens (human). RNAcentral's name for it is "HSALNT0059163". Lineage: Eukaryota; Metazoa; Chordata; Mammalia; Primates; Hominidae. The record is from RNAcentral.